UACGUAGGGUGCAAGCGUUGUCCGGAAUUAUUGGGCGUAAAGAGCUCGUAGGCGGUUUGUCACGUCGGCUGUGAAAACCCGAGGCUCAACCUCGGGCCUGCAGUCGAUACGGGCAGACUAGAGUAUGGCAGGGGAGACUGGAAUUCCUGGUGUAGCGGUGAAAUGCGCAGAUAUCAGGAGGAACACCGGUGGCGAAGGCGGGUCUCUGGGCAACAACUGACGCUGAGGAGCGAAAGCGUGGGGAGCGAACAGG
This 253-nucleotide ribosomal RNA is filed under the name uncultured bacterium. RNAcentral's name for it is "partial 16S ribosomal RNA". It matches the Rfam family "Bacterial small subunit ribosomal RNA", at positions 524 to 776 of the family's 1533-position model. The record is from RNAcentral.